UUAUUUCCCCUCCCUACAAGGACAUACUACAUCUAUUCUGCAAAGUAAGAUCUCCAAUUGAAACCUGUGCAAACAUUAGCCUGAGAAACAUUGUGAACCCAUUCACCUAUCACCCAGCAAGUCAUUACAUGUGCUGUUCUCACCAAAUUUUGAGUUAAUCAGCUUGCUUCUGGGCAGAAUGCUUUGCUGAACUAAAAGGUUAAAGACUUUGGGCUGCAGAGCUCUACCAGAGCAUUUAGGUAUUAGAACAAUCAACAAAGAGGUCAAAAACGAAUACAAAUGUUUUUCAGGAUUGUAUUAAUAUUCACAACCUCUCCAAAAAUAGUACAAUACAAUCAGAAAAAUAAGGAAACCAUGCUUCAUGCAGAUGUUAUAGGCCUCAACAGCGAUGUGUUUAAAUUAGUUCUGUUCACUUGUUAGCUACUGUAAGCAGCAUGAUUUUUCAACCAAAGAUAAUGUUUGAUAACUGCAUUUCAAUAGCAAGGCAACCCUCACUGUAGAGAUUGUAUAGAGCAGCGUAUCAUUUAGAAUUUGCACUUUUCUUUUCAUGUGAUCUAUAUUUAGACUGUAAUUUGCUGGAACAUAGCUGCUGGUGCGAGGACAGCACAGUUUACGUCUUAACCCUUAGACCAACCACACGGUAUUAAGAUAACUACCAACAGAUGUUGCAAGUGAGAUGGAGGUGAACAACUGGGUGGUCGUGUGAAAAUGAUUAAGCUGUCUGGUACGUCUGCUGCACAUGUUCAUAUCUCGCAAGGACAGAACAAGUUGCAGGCAUUAAAGACUAAAGAAGCCUACAGGUCCUCUCCAGGUUACAAUCGCCAGACCUACCGACCUCCAUCAGAUUACUUCUUAUUCUGCAAUUUUGAGGAAGUCCAGGUCUGAUGUCUUUCCGUCUGAAGAAGGGUUUCGGCCCGAAACGUCGCCUAUUUCAUUCGCUCCAUAGAUGCUGCUGCGCCCGCUGAGUUUCUCCAGCAUUUUUGUGUACCUCUGAUGUCUUUCCUGACGCUUGUCCCUUAUCAUCUGGUUAUCCUUGUAAAUCUCUUAAGCACUUCAUUGCUGUUUCCUAUAGUCUGGAUACAAACAGUCCAUAGUAUUCCACAUAUAGUCUAAUAAAUACUUUUUACAAAGUUUAAAACAGCUUCUCCAGGAAUUUGAAUUCUAUUCCUUCAAAUAUGUACCUCAGUUUUUUGGUUACCACAGUUACAUCUGAUGUACCCUGUGGCAUAUUUAACAGUUUUUCCAUGAGGUAAAUUCAGAGACUCAGCAGUGAUUCAUCAGACACCAAUACUGCAGUUCUUCACUCCAGUGCUAAUCUCAGUGGCAUCGCCCAGCCAUUGUGUUGGUGACUAGUUCUAGCUACUACACAUCAGGCAAUAACAGCACAAGUCAAAGAUAAUAGCAAAUUAACUAGAGUUUUAUGAAAGCGUACCAUUGCAAUUUUGAUCCUUGAUUUCAUGUCAUCUCACUUUUUAGUUCAGUUCUUGAAUGUAGUUUGAAACUCUGUGGUGCAAAGCAUUGCUACUUAUACGGUGGAUUUGUUGACAUUUGCUGUUUAAAUUGCCAGACUCUGCUACAAAGAGAGGCUUGCAAUAUAUGUGGCAACUGCCCCAGCAAUUUGUGAACUGCAAGUUGCUUUCAGUCCUGUAACAUGCCCUGGAGUGGAUCAGAAUUCAAAUAUGCAUCACUUAAAAAGACAAAUUUAUGCAGUGAUAGCUGAGCAACAUGUCUGCUGCCAAGCACAAUAUUCACUCUAUUAACUUUGUUUUUUCUUCCUCGGGGUUGAGAAUGACUUGUUCACACAUCAGUUCUGAGGUUUCUAAGAUUAUUUCUCCCCACCGCACUGACUGCCGUCUGCCUGGUACCUCUUUCCAUGACAGAGCUUGGAAUAGACCAUCUGUUUCAUGAGUCUGGUAACCGACCCGCAAAUGACGUGACCAAGGCACUGCACUGUUGAGUGUAAUUGGGGCCUUGAUGCUGGAGUUGUUGGCCUCGGAAAGGAUGCGGAUCUGUUUAUUCUUUCUGUGGAUUUGGAAAUCAUUUGCUUUGGUUCAAAGUAGCUGCUGUAAAUAGUCUCACAAGUGCAUAAAGAGGCAGGGGUCACUGCUGCUCUAUUUUGUGAUGCAUUUUACACCCUGACUUUUAAACAUCCUUCCACUGCGUCAGCCAGCGUAUGUGCUGAUGCACCGAAGACGGUGACAAACUUCACCGCUAAUAUCUCCCUUCACCACGAAGGAAAUCAGUCCCCGCUUUCCCAAGGUCCUGUCACAAACCUAUCAUAAGGGGAUGAUUUUAAACAGCAAGUGCAAAUUAGCAAAUGGCAUUUAUCUGGCAAACAUUUCGCGCAAGACCCAUUCACUUGUGUGUUUCUAUGUAUGACUCAGAACUCAGCCUUUGAACAUGUACAAAUUAAAGUGACAUUGUGUAUCACACUCCACUAAAGGCGCUUGGUUGUGGAGUGCAACAGUAAGUUGUUGUUUCCCUUUCAUCCUGUAGAUCACCCACACUCCAAGUGGAAACAAGAUGCAGUGAAAUAAAUUUGAUAGCAUUGGGAGAAACUAUACAGCCUUGUUGAAACCCAAGCAAAAUGUUUGACAGUUACAGGUUUUGUACACUGCAGCAAAACUAUAAAUGCACCAACAAUAUACUAUCUGCAGCUUUGGUAUAAUUUAGUAUCAGUGAAUGGGAAAUACCUUGCUGCUCAGGUUUUGGUAAUGCAGGUGUGUUUCUUUGCUGGAAUGGAGUUCAAUAUCAGCUGGAUCAUUUUAGGACAGCAGUUGUGAGGGGAGGGGUGGGGUCUCUGCCUUUAAAAUCGACAUCAUCUAUUUCCAAAGAUAGGUCACAUAGUCUUCCUUAUGUACACCAGUUAACACCAGACAGGUUUUGAAUGUGACUGCCCGAUUCUAUUGAGAGGUUGGAGUGGAAGGCCAGUGACACAGUUACUUGUUUUACUAUACUGUUGUUGCAAGUGUCAUCUUCUAUGCUGUUGUCUGCUGGGGUAACAACAUCACUGAUAAAAACAGCAAGAAGCUGGACAAGCUGGUGAACAGAGCUAGCUCAGUACUGGGGGGAGAGUGGACUCUGUGGUGGAUGUGCUUGAGAGGUGUAUGAGGAGCAAGGUGCAGGUCAUCCUCAACAACUCCGGGCAACCCCUCCAUGAAACUCUGGAGGGUCAGAGGAGCACACGGAACAACAACCGGCUCCUCUCACUGCGCUGUAGAACAGAGUGGUUCAGGAGAUCCUUCACCCCUGCAGCCAUUAGAUUUUAUAAUACUGACCGUUAAGCUCCAUGUGGAUGCUUUGCACUUUUAAUAGUUAUUUAUUGGGUUCUUUUUAAGUGUUUAUUGCUUUCAUGUGUUGUCCAUAUUUCAUGUAUUGUCUGCUUUUGUUCUGGCUGUGUUGGCUACUGGACAUCUGAAUUUCCCUGAGGGGAUUAAUAAAGUAUUUAUCAUCAUCAUCAUCGUCAAAAAUGGGGAUUGUAGCCAAGUAUGCUGCUAUAACGGUGGACAAUGUGGCCCAAUGUCAUGCACCUCCGCCCAAUAUUUGCAUCACCCCAACAUUCCACCCCACCCCCCUUUUCCUGCUCUCAUCUUUAAAAAAAUACUACUCCGUGUCUUCUUUGAUCAAACUGCACAGAAGAUGAAGAAACAACCUUUGUGCAGUUCGAACAUAGAAACAUGUCACUGUACGCCUUGAUGAAGAAAAUGUACACCAAACCAAGUCAGUCUGGAGAAGUGAUCAAAUAGUUCUUAAUGGGGAGAAGGCAGGCACGGGUUACUGAUUGUGGACGAUCAGCCAUGAUCACAAUGAAUUGCAGUGCGGGCUCAAAGGGCCACAUGGCAUCCUCCUGCACUUAUUUUCUAUGUUUCUAAAAGAAGUGAAGGUGAUUAAAAAAAAGGCAAAACAGUUAAAAGUGGAACCAGAGAGCUAGUGUAAAAUGGCAUGUUAAAAGUAGGGGCAAAGGAACGAGGUAAUACAGAGCAAGUCUGUGGAAAAGAUAUGUAGAGGAUUGAUUUUUGUUUGGGGGUGAGAAAUAAGUGAUGAAACAUGAAGCAAGGAAACUGCAGAGCGCGGAGAAUCCUUGCCAAUACAGAUCAGCAACUGCAGCUGUGACAAGAUUAGAAUAUUGACACAAAAAGCUGGAGUAACUCAGCGGGACAGGCAGCAUCUCUGGAGAGAAGGAAUGAGUGACAUUUUGGAUCGAAACUCUUCCUCAGACUGGAUUAGAACUUGAUCAAAGUCAAAGUCAAAGUAGCCUUUAUUGUCAUUCAGACCUUGCGGUCUGAACAAAAUUUUGUUGCCUUGCAGUCCUACAUAUAGUAAAAAUGACAAAAACGCACAAUAAACAAAAAUUAACAUCCACCACAGUGAGUUCACCAGGCACCUCCUCACUGUGAUGGAAGGCAAAAGUCUUAGGUCUUUGUCUCUUCCCUUCUUAUUCUCCCUCUGCGCCGAGGCGAUACAGGCUUCGGAUGUUGUGAUCCCGCCGGGUGAUGGUAAGUAAUGUCAGUCCCGCGGCUGAAUCCAAGCUCCGCGAACGGGCCGGUUCAACUCCACGGCCCGGGGUGGUCGAAGCCGCCGAAGCUGCGGCCCUCCAGUCCAGCGGACGCAGCUUUUGUCGCGGGAGCUCCGGAGAACAGGUCACCAACCUGCGACCCGCGAGCUCCCGACGAUGUCGUCCACUGGGCCUGCUGAGCCCGCUGCCCCGUGGUCGGGUCGCUGCUGCCGUUGCCCGCUC
This is a long non-coding RNA of Leucoraja erinaceus (little skate), 4738 nucleotides long. RefSeq lists it as uncharacterized. The transcript has 4 exons. Lineage: Eukaryota; Metazoa; Chordata; Chondrichthyes; Rajiformes; Rajidae. The record is from RefSeq and is a predicted model, not a curated record.